CCUCUCAUGGCGUAGGGGUAACGCGCCCCAACUAGAGAUCGGGGAGUCGUGAGUUCGAUUCUCACUGAGAAGA
This is a non-coding RNA of Aedes aegypti (yellow fever mosquito), 73 nucleotides long. NCBI's taxonomy places the organism in Eukaryota, Metazoa, Arthropoda, Insecta, Diptera, Culicidae. The record is from Rfam.